ACUCCUACGGGAGGCAGCAGUGAGGAAUUUUGCGCAAUGGGGGAAACCCUGACGCAGCAACGCCGCGUGAGUGAUGAAGGCUUUCGGGUCGUAAAGCUCUGUCAAGUGGGAAGAACAUGCUUGAUGCUAAUACCAUCUUGCACUGACGGUACCACUGGAGGAAGCACCGGCUAACUCCGUGCCAGCAGCCGCGGUAAUACGGAGGGUGCAAGCGUUGUUCGGAAUUACUGGGCGUAAAGGGCGUGCAGGCGGGUUGGUAAGUCAGAUGUGAAAGCCCUGGGCUCAACCCAGGAAGUGCAUUUGAAACUGCCAUCCUUGAGUAUGGGAGAGGAAAGUGGAAUUCCCAGUGUAGAGGUGAAAUUCGUAGAUAUUGGGAGGAACACCCGUGGCGAAGGCGACUCUCUGGACCAAUACUGACGCUGAGACGCGAAAGCGUGGGGAGCAAACAGGAUUAGAUACCCUGGUAGUCCACGCUGUAAACGAUGAUAACUAGGUGUAGCGGGUAUUGACCCCUGCUGUGCCGAAGUUAACGCAUUAAGUUCUCCGCCUGGGGAGUACGGCCGCAAGGCUAAAACUCAAAUGAAUUGACGG
This 591-nucleotide ribosomal RNA is filed under the name uncultured bacterium. Its description in RNAcentral is "bacterial SSU rRNA". It matches the Rfam family "Bacterial small subunit ribosomal RNA", at positions 335 to 916 of the family's 1533-position model. The record is from RNAcentral.